UACGUAGGGGGCAAGCGUUGUCCGGAUUUAUUGGGCGUAAAGAGCGUGUAGGCGGCCAUGCAGGUCAGCUGUGAAAACUCGAUGGCUCAACCUCGAGAUGUCGGUUGAAACCGUGUGGCUAGAGUCCGGAAGAGGAGAGUGGAAUUCCCGGUGUAGCGGCGAAAUGCGCAGAUAUCGGGAAGAACACCCGUGGCGAAGGCGGCUCACUGGUCCGGUACUGACGCUGAGGUGCGAAAGCGUGGGGAGCAAACAGG
This 254-nucleotide ribosomal RNA is filed under the name uncultured bacterium. Its description in RNAcentral is "partial 16S ribosomal RNA". It matches the Rfam family "Bacterial small subunit ribosomal RNA", at positions 524 to 776 of the family's 1533-position model. The record is from RNAcentral.